RNAcentral lists this ribosomal RNA (563 nucleotides) under uncultured bacterium. RNAcentral describes it as "bacterial SSU rRNA". It matches the Rfam family "Bacterial small subunit ribosomal RNA", at positions 8 to 568 of the family's 1533-position model. The record is from RNAcentral.
AGAGUUUGAUUAUGGCUCAGAUUGAACGCUGGCGGCAUGCCUUACACAUGCAAGUCGAACGGCAGCGGACCUUCGGGUGCCGGCGAGUGGCGAACGGGUGAGUAAAGUAUCGGAACGUACCUUUCAGUGGGGGAUAACGUAGCGAAAGUUACGCUAAUACCGCAUAUUCUGUGAGCAGGAAAGCAGGGGAUCGCAAGACCUUGCGCUGAUUGAGCGGCCGAUAUCAGAUUAGCUAGCUGGUGGGGUAAAGGCCUACCAAGGCGACGAUCUGUAGCGGGUCUGAGAGGAUGAUCCGCCACACUGGGACUGAGACACGGCCCAGACUCCUACGGGAGGCAGCAGUGGGGAAUUUUGGACAAUGGGCGCAAGCCUGAUCCAGCCAUGCCGCGUGAGUGAAGAAGGCCUUCGGGUUGUAAAGCUCUUUCGGCCGGGAAGAAAUCGCAUGGGCUAAUACCCUGUGUGGAUGACGGUACCGGAAUAAGAAGCACCGGCUAACUACGUGCCAGCAGCCGCGGUAAUACGUAGGGUGCGAGCGUUAAUCGGAAUUACUGGGCGUAAAGCGU